CUUGGGAGGAGCUGCUGUGUUCUGGUUCAUACUGUAGCUGAUUUCAGGAGACUGGGUGGGGAGCAACUCAGGGUUACCAAGUGUUAUAGCGUGGACCAGGAUAACCCCCACCGGCGCAGGAGGGGGAAUAUGGGACUCUGACACAAAGCAGCCUGUAGGGUCCCAAGCGAGAAGUCGGCCGCUGUUCCCAGCGUGCCCCACACUAUGCUGCGACAAACUGGAGAAGACUUCACUGGAGCGUUCAGCAACUCCCAGACACCUUCAGGUUCCGGGUCAGCGCAAUUCUGCAAUGGUGACCGCUUUAUUGCCAG
Non-coding RNA from Pelobates cultripes (western spadefoot toad), 311 nucleotides. The record is from the annotation of a GenBank genome assembly. NCBI's taxonomy places the organism in Eukaryota, Metazoa, Chordata, Amphibia, Anura, Pelobatidae.